RNAcentral lists this ribosomal RNA (377 nucleotides) under uncultured bacterium. RNAcentral's name for it is "bacterial SSU rRNA". It matches the Rfam family "Bacterial small subunit ribosomal RNA", at positions 521 to 896 of the family's 1533-position model. The record is from RNAcentral.
UAAGACGUAGGGGGCGAGCGUUGUCCGGAUUUAUUGGGCGUAAAGCGCGCGCAGGCGGCCCGGUAAGUCGGGUGUGAAAUCCCACAGCUCAACUGUGGAAUUGCACUCGAUACUGUCGGGCUAGAGGCAGGUAGGGGAGAUCGGAAUUCCCGGUGUAGCGGUGAAAUGCGCAGAUAUCGGGAGGAACACCGGUGGCGAAGGCGGAUCUCUGGGCCUGUCCUGACGCUCAGGCGCGAAAGCUAGGGGAGCGAACAGGAUUAGAUACCCUGGUAGUCCUAGCCGUAAACGAUGGGUGCUAGGUGUGGGAGGUAUCGACCCCUUCCGUGCCGAAGCUAACGCAUUAAGCACCCCGCCUGGGGAGUACGGCCGCAAGGCUA